Molecule: non-coding RNA, 255 nt
Filed under: Heyndrickxia ginsengihumi
Lineage: Bacteria; Bacillati; Bacillota; Bacilli; Caryophanales; Bacillaceae
Description: Bacillus ginsengihumi T-box sequence
Rfam family: T-box leader
About the family: Uncharged tRNA acts as the effector for transcription antitermination of genes in the T-box leader family. T-boxes are found upstream of many aminoacyl-tRNA synthetase genes and some amino acid biosynthetic genes usually in Gram-positive bacteria.
Source: RNAcentral
ACUUAAGUGAUGAUGAAGAGUAGUAUUCUAUACGGAUACAAGCAGAGAGCCGGUGGUUGGUGUAAACCGGUGUUGAAGUGUAGAUGAAUGGACUUCUGAACUUCCAAACUGAACCUAAUGAAAUAAUUAGUAGUAGGCUUUGGCGAAUGUCUCAUCGUUAUAAGAGACGGGUAUUAAGAAAAAUAUUCUUGAUACUGUCAAAGCUGAGCUAUUUCAAGCUAAUAAAGGUGGCACCGCGGGUUCCUCGUCCUUUAC